RNAcentral lists this ribosomal RNA (2906 nucleotides) under Escherichia coli. RNAcentral's name for it is "23S ribosomal RNA". It matches the Rfam family "Bacterial large subunit ribosomal RNA". Lineage: Bacteria; Pseudomonadati; Pseudomonadota; Gammaproteobacteria; Enterobacterales; Enterobacteriaceae. The record is from RNAcentral.
GGUUAAGCGACUAAGCGUACACGGUGGAUGCCCUGGCAGUCAGAGGCGAUGAAGGACGUGCUAAUCUGCGAUAAGCGUCGGUAAGGUGAUAUGAACCGUUAUAACCGGCGAUUUCCGAAUGGGGAAACCCAGUGUGAUUCGUCACACUAUCAUUAACUGAAUCCAUAGGUUAAUGAGGCGAACCGGGGGAACUGAAACAUCUAAGUACCCCGAGGAAAAGAAAUCAACCGAGAUUCCCCCAGUAGCGGCGAGCGAACGGGGAGCAGCCCAGAGCCUGAAUCAGUGUGUGUGUUAGUGGAAGCGUCUGGAAAGGCGCGCGAUACAGGGUGACAGCCCCGUACACAAAAAUGCACAUACUGUGAGCUCGAUGAGUAGGGCGGGACACGUGGUAUCCUGUCUGAAUAUGGGGGGACCAUCCUCCAAGGCUAAAUACUCCUGACUGACCGAUAGUGAACCAGUACCGUGAGGGAAAGGCGAAAAGAACCCCGGCGAGGGGAGUGAAAAAGAACCUGAAACCGUGUACGUACAAGCAGUGGGAGCACAGAGCAAUCUGUGUGACUGCGUACCUUUUGUAUAAUGGGUCAGCGACUUAUAUUCUGUAGCAAGGUUAACCGAAUAGGGGAGCCGAAGGGAAACCGAGUCUUAACUGGGCGUUAAGUUGCAGGGUAUAGACCCGAAACCCGGUGAUCUAGCCAUGGGCAGGUUGAAGGUUGGGUAACACUAACUGGAGGACCGAACCGACUAAUGUUGAAAAAUUAGCGGAUGACUUGUGGCUGGGGGUGAAAGGCCAAUCAAACCGGGAGAUAGCUGGUUCUCCCCGAAAGCUAUUUAGGUAGCGCCUCGUGAAUUCAUCUCCGGGGGUAGAGCACUGUUUCGGCAAGGGGGUCAUCCCGACUUACCAACCCGAUGCAAACUGCGAAUACCGGAGAAUGUUAUCACGGGAGACACACGGCGGGUGCUAACGUCCGUCGUGAAGAGGGAAACAACCCAGACCGCCAGCUAAGGUCCCAAAGUCAUGGUUAAGUGGGAAACGAUGUGGGAAGGCCCAGACAGCCAGGAUGUUGGCUUAGAAGCAGCCAUCAUUUAAAGAAAGCGUAAUAGCUCACUGGUCGAGUCGGCCUGCGCGGAAGAUGUAACGGGGCUAAACCAUGCACCGAAGCUGCGGCAGCGACGCUGAUGCGUUGUUGGGUAGGGGAGCGUUCUGUAAGCCUGUGAAGGUGUGCUGUGAGGUAUGCUGGAGGUAUCAGAAGUGCGAAUGCUGACAUAAGUAACGAUAAAGCGGGUGAAAAGCCCGCUCGCCGGAAGACCAAGGGUUCCUGUCCAACGUUAAUCGGGGCAGGGUGAGUCGACCCCUAAGGCGAGGCCGAAAGGCGUAGUCGAUGGGAAACAGGUUAAUAUUCCUGUACUUGGUGUUACUGCGAAGGGGGGACGGAGAAGGCUAUGUUGGCCGGGCGACGGUUGUCCCGGUUUAAGCGUGUAGGCUGGUUUUCCAGGCAAAUCCGGAAAAUCAAGGCUGAGGCGUGAUGACGAGGCACUACGGUGCUGAAGCAACAAAUGCCCUGCUUCCAGGAAAAGCCUCUAAGCAUCAGGUAACAUCAAAUCGUACCCCAAACCGACACAGGUGGUCAGGUAGAGAAUACCAAGGCGCUUGAGAGAACUCGGGUGAAGGAACUAGGCAAAAUGGUGCCGUAACUUCGGGAGAAGGCACGCUGAUAUGUAGGUGAAGUCCCUCGCGGAUGGAGCUGAAAUCAGUCGAAGAUACCAGCUGGCUGCAACUGUUUAUUAAAAACACAGCACUGUGCAAACACGAAAGUGGACGUAUACGGUGUGACGCCUGCCCGGUGCCGGAAGGUUAAUUGAUGGGGUUAGCGCAAGCGAAGCUCUUGAUCGAAGCCCCGGUAAACGGCGGCCGUAACUAUAACGGUCCUAAGGUAGCGAAAUUCCUUGUCGGGUAAGUUCCGACCUGCACGAAUGGCGUAAUGAUGGCCAGGCUGUCUCCACCCGAGACUCAGUGAAAUUGAACUCGCUGUGAAGAUGCAGUGUACCCGCGGCAAGACGGAAAGACCCCGUGAACCUUUACUAUAGCUUGACACUGAACAUUGAGCCUUGAUGUGUAGGAUAGGUGGGAGGCUUUGAAGUGUGGACGCCAGUCUGCAUGGAGCCGACCUUGAAAUACCACCCUUUAAUGUUUGAUGUUCUAACGUUGACCCGUAAUCCGGGUUGCGGACAGUGUCUGGUGGGUAGUUUGACUGGGGCGGUCUCCUCCUAAAGAGUAACGGAGGAGCACGAAGGUUGGCUAAUCCUGGUCGGACAUCAGGAGGUUAGUGCAAUGGCAUAAGCCAGCUUGACUGCGAGCGUGACGGCGCGAGCAGGUGCGAAAGCAGGUCAUAGUGAUCCGGUGGUUCUGAAUGGAAGGGCCAUCGCUCAACGGAUAAAAGGUACUCCGGGGAUAACAGGCUGAUACCGCCCAAGAGUUCAUAUCGACGGCGGUGUUUGGCACCUCGAUGUCGGCUCAUCACAUCCUGGGGCUGAAGUAGGUCCCAAGGGUAUGGCUGUUCGCCAUUUAAAGUGGUACGCGAGCUGGGUUUAGAACGUCGUGAGACAGUUCGGUCCCUAUCUGCCGUGGGCGCUGGAGAACUGAGGGGGGCUGCUCCUAGUACGAGAGGACCGGAGUGGACGCAUCACUGGUGUUCGGGUUGUCAUGCCAAUGGCACUGCCCGGUAGCUAAAUGCGGAAGAGAUAAGUGCUGAAAGCAUCUAAGCACGAAACUUGCCCCGAGAUGAGUUCUCCCUGACUCCUUGAGAGUCCUGAAGGAACGUUGAAGACGACGACGUUGAUAGGCCGGAUGUGUAAGCGCAGCGAUGCGUUGAGCUAACCGGUACUAAUGAACCGUGAGGCUUAACCUU